This 405-nucleotide ribosomal RNA is filed under the name uncultured bacterium. RNAcentral describes it as "partial 16S ribosomal RNA". It matches the Rfam family "Bacterial small subunit ribosomal RNA", at positions 30 to 526 of the family's 1533-position model. The record is from RNAcentral.
AUUGAACGCUGGCGGCAUGCUUUACACAUGCAAGUCGGACGAGUGGCGAACGGGUGAGUAACGCAUCGGAACGUACCGAGUAAUGGGGGAUAACUACGGGAAACUGUAGCUAAUACCGCGUACCAUAGGAUGAGCCCACGUGGGAUUAGGUAGUUGGUGGGGUAAAGGCUCACCAAGCCGACGAUCUCUAGCUGGUCUGAGAGGAUGACCAGCCACACUGGGACUGAGACACGGCCCAGACUCCUACGGGAGGCAGCAGUGGGGAAUAUUGCGCAAUGGGGGCAACCUGACGCAGCCAUGCCGCGUGAAUGAAGAAGGCCUUCGGGUUGUAAAGUUCUUUCGGUAGCGAGGCGUUAACUACAGAAGAAGCACCGGCUAACUCCGUGCCAGCAGCCGCGGUAAUAC